This 253-nucleotide ribosomal RNA is filed under the name uncultured bacterium. RNAcentral describes it as "partial 16S ribosomal RNA". It matches the Rfam family "Bacterial small subunit ribosomal RNA", at positions 524 to 776 of the family's 1533-position model. The record is from RNAcentral.
UACGUAGGUGGCAAGCGUUGUCCGGAUUUACUGGGUGUAAAGGGAGCGUAGGCGGACUUUUAAGUGAGAUGUGAAAUACUCGGGCUCAACUUGAGUGCUGCAUUUCAAACUGGAAGUCUAGAGUGCAGGAGAGGAGAAUGGAAUUCCUAGUGUAGCGGUGAAAUGCGUAGAGAUUAGGAAGAACACCAGUGGCGAAGGCGAUUCUCUGGACUGUAACUGACGCUGAGGCUCGAAAGCGUGGGGAGCAAACAGG